RNAcentral lists this small RNA (127 nucleotides) under Marmota monax (woodchuck). Lineage: Eukaryota; Metazoa; Chordata; Mammalia; Rodentia; Sciuridae. The record is from RNAcentral.
GGUGGGUGUGGUGGCGCACGCCUGUCAUCCCAGCAACUUGGGAGGCUGAGGCAGGAGGAUCAAAAGUUCAAGGCCAGCCUCAGCAACUUAGCAAGGCCCUAAGCAACUCAGAGAGACCCUGCCUCUA